RNAcentral lists this ribosomal RNA (253 nucleotides) under uncultured bacterium. Its description in RNAcentral is "partial 16S ribosomal RNA". It matches the Rfam family "Bacterial small subunit ribosomal RNA", at positions 524 to 776 of the family's 1533-position model. The record is from RNAcentral.
UACGUAGGGACCAAGCGUUGUUCGGAUUUACUGGGCGUAAAGGGCGCGUAGGCGGCGCGGUAAGUCACUUGUGAAAUCUCUGAGCUUAACUCAGAACGGCCAAGUGAUACUGCAGUGCUAGAGUGUGGAAGGGGCAAUCGGAAUUCUUGGUGUAGCGGUGAAAUGCGCAGAUAUCAGGAGGAACACCGAUGGCGAAGGCAGCUCGCUGGGACGGUACUGACGCUGAGGCGCGAAAGCGUGGGGAGCAAACAGG